Molecule: ribosomal RNA, 497 nt
Filed under: uncultured bacterium
Lineage: Bacteria
Description: partial 16S ribosomal RNA
Rfam family: Bacterial small subunit ribosomal RNA
Source: RNAcentral
GACGAACGCUGGCGGCGUGCCUAAUACAUGCAAGUUGAGCGCUGAAGGUUGGUACUUGUACCAACUGGAUGAGCAGCGAACGGGUGAGUAACGCGUGGGGAAUCUGCCUUUGAGCGGGGGACAACAUUUGGAAACGAAUGCUAAUACCGCAUAAAAACUUUAAACACAAGUUUUAAGUUUGAAAGAUGCAAUUGCAUCACUCAAAGAUGAUCCCGCGUUGUAUUAGCUAGUUGGUGAGGUAAAGGCUCACCAAGGCGAUGAUACAUAGCCGACCUGAGAGGGGGAUCGGCCACAAUGGGACUGGGACACGGCCCAAACUCCUACGGGAGGCAGCAGUAGGGAAUCUUCGGCAAUGGACGAAAGGCUGACCGAGCAACGCCGCGUGAGGGAAGAAGGGUUUCGGAUCGUAAAACUCUGUUGGUAGAGAAGAACGUUGGUGGGAGUGGAAAGCUCAUCAAGUGACGGUAACUACCCAGAAAGGGACGGCUAACUACGUG